CCUUUUAACUUUUAUGGAUGACCUAUAUAAUAGUGAUAACUACAAUUAAACAAAGUAGCAUCCACUUCUCAGGUUUAUACUGCCCCUGAUUCUGCCUGGUAUAAAAUGCCUAAGUCUACAAGGUGAGCUUUGUGGUUGGACAUGCUUUUACAUUGGUGUGGCUGCUGUUGCUUUUGGAUGCUCUUAUUAUCACCUCAAACCAAAUGAUGGUCACCUUGUUUGGGAUCGUUUGCCUAUGCAAAUGAGGAAUCUUCACGAUCACAUGCCAUUCUUCGUUCAUAAAUCUUGCAGGAAAUGAAAGAGGUGCAGAUACAACUGAUAAUGAUAAGAAAACAAGGCUUGGCCUGUGCGUACUCCAAGGCCUGUUGCUUUCAAGCUUGUUGCUGAUACCCCUCUUC
Molecule: long non-coding RNA, 398 nt
Organism: Lactuca sativa (garden lettuce)
Lineage: Eukaryota; Viridiplantae; Streptophyta; Magnoliopsida; Asterales; Asteraceae
Source: RefSeq, a predicted model, not a curated record